GCCCGAUUAACUCAAUGGAAGAGUGUCUCCCUUACAAGGAGAGGGUUGUAGGUUCAAGUCCUGCAUCGGGCCCCA
RNAcentral lists this transfer RNA (75 nucleotides) under Candidatus Melainabacteria bacterium. RNAcentral's name for it is "tRNA-Val". It matches the Rfam family "tRNA". Rfam says of the family: Transfer RNA (tRNA) molecules are approximately 80 nucleotides in length. Their secondary structure includes four short double-helical elements and three loops (D, anti-codon, and T loops). The record is from RNAcentral. Lineage: Bacteria; Bacillati; Candidatus Melainabacteria.